AUGGCCCACAUCGUCUUCCUCCGCGCGGCAGCUGCCGACCUCACCGCCGGCAAGCCGUCGCUCGCGGGUGUGCCAUCCUCCGCGCCGCUCUCCGCGGCCGCCGCGGCCAUCCCGUCGUCGCCGGAGGCUGCCGUGGCCGUCUGGCGCGACGGCGCCUCCCCGUUGGCGCCCCUCGCCGCCACCGUCGUCGGGCUGCUCAGCUCGCUCGACGUCGUCGCCUUCGUGGCCUCCCAUGCGAGAGGAGGGGGCACCGCGGCGGACGCGAUGAGGACCCCGGUCGGUGACGUGGUGCCGCGGGAGCCGGCGCUGGUCCGCGAGGUCGAGCCCGACGCCAGGUUGAUAGAGAUAAUGGAGCUGAUGAAGCAGGGCGCAAAGCGAGUCCUCGUCCGCAAGAACUUCACGGAAGGAUGCCCCAUCAACAAGCAGCCCUUCGCGCCGUUCUACAAGGCCGCGCCCAAGAUCACCGGCACGCCGCGCGCCUCCGCGACCCAGACGGUCAGCCGGUCAUGGUCGUCGACGUUUGGCUGCGACAAGUACUGCUGCCUCACACGGGAGGACAUCGUCCGCUUCCUCAUCAACUGCCUGGGCGCCCUCGCGCCGAUCCCGCUGCAGUCGAUCUCCUCCCUCGGAGCCAUCAGCCGCGGCUACUGCCACGUCGACGCCUCCUCGCCGGCCAUGGAGGUCGUCUGGAAGAUACCCUCCGACCCGCGCGCGGUGGCCGUCGUGCGGACGAACCGCGACGGGUCGCAUGUGAUUCUCGGGGAGAUAUCCGCUCACAAGCUGUGGAAGCGCGACCAUGUGGCCGCUGCGGACGCGAUGGCGAGGCUGUCGGCGCUGCACUUCGCCACCGGCAUUGACGAGAAUGGGGCGGCGCCGGCUGCUGCUAAUGGCGUCGGUGCCGGCGCACGACGGGGUGAGGUGGAGAAUGAUAUCGUGCCUUCUCCAAGGUCUAUGAGAUUCAGCAGCAGGAGAAUCGGGUUCUCGGCGUGCCUUGCCAGCCAAAUGGUCCCGAGUCACCGGGAGAACACGGUGCUCACCUGCAAGACCACGAGCUCUCUCGCCGCCGUCAUGGCGCAGAUGCUGGCGCACAGGGCCACACACCUCUGGGUCGUCCAAGGUGGCGACACGGAGGAAGCCAUCUUGGUUGGCAUGGUUGGCUACAUGGACAUCUUCAACGCAGUCACCAGCGGUGUACUUGUUCUUCCGGCUUGA
This 1212-nucleotide ribosomal RNA is filed under the name Triticum aestivum (bread wheat). Its description in RNAcentral is "partial small subunit ribosomal RNA". The record is from RNAcentral. Lineage: Eukaryota; Viridiplantae; Streptophyta; Magnoliopsida; Poales; Poaceae.